This 364-nucleotide ribosomal RNA is filed under the name uncultured bacterium. RNAcentral's name for it is "partial 16S ribosomal RNA". It matches the Rfam family "Bacterial small subunit ribosomal RNA", at positions 338 to 699 of the family's 1533-position model. The record is from RNAcentral.
CCUACGGGCGGCAGCAGUGAGGAAUAUUGGUCAAUGGGCUUACGCCUGAACCAGCCAAGUCGCGUGAGGGAAGACUGCCCUAUGGGUUGUAAACCUCUUUUGUCAGGGAGCAACGCCGGCUACGUGUAGCCGGACUGAGAGUACCUGAAGAAAAAGCAUCGGCUAACUCCGUGCCAGCAGCCGCGGUAAUACGGAGGAUGCGAGCGUUAUCCGGAUUUAUUGGGUUUAAGGGGUGCGUAGGCGGAAUGCCAAGUCAGCGGUAAAAUCGCGGGGCUCAACCUCGCUCCGCCGUUGAAACUGGCGUUCUGGAGGGGGCGAGAGGUAGGGGGAAUGGGUGGGGGAGGGGUGAAAUGCAGAGAAAUAA